RNAcentral lists this ribosomal RNA (460 nucleotides) under uncultured bacterium. RNAcentral describes it as "bacterial SSU rRNA". It matches the Rfam family "Bacterial small subunit ribosomal RNA", at positions 28 to 508 of the family's 1533-position model. The record is from RNAcentral.
GAUGAACGCUGGCGGCGUGCUUAAUACAUGCAAGUCGAACGGAGAGAGUAGCAAUACUGUCUUAGUGGCGAACGGGUGAGUAACGCGUUGGUGACCUGCCCCGAAGAGGGGGAUAACAGUUCGAAAGGACUGCUAAUACCCCAUGAUAUCUACCCGGUUAGAGGAGGUAGAUGAAAGGAGAAAUCCGCUUUGGGAGGGGCCUGCGUCCCAUCAGCUAGUUGGUAGGGUAAAGGCCUACCAAGGCAAAGACGGGUAGGGGGCCUGAGAGGGUGACCCCCCACACUGGCACUGAAACACGGGCCAGACACCUACGGGUGGCAGCAGUAGGGAAUAUCGCACAAUGGGCGAAAGCCUGAUGCAGCAACGCCGCGUGCGCGAUGACGGCCUCGGUUGUAAGCGCUUUCGGGUAGGAUGAGGAAGGACGAGUAUCCCCGGAAUAAGGCUCGGCGUAACUACGUAG